UUUCUCUUUAAAAUGGUCCCGUGAGGCUGUAAAGAGGUUGUAACCUGUCAAAAGUGUGGCGAACACCGCUUCCCUUUUUGUCAGUGUGCGGUCAACUCUUUGCUCCUUGGGCAAAGGGUUUUUUUAU
Molecule: regulatory RNA element, 127 nt
Organism: Geomicrobium sp. JCM 19039
Lineage: Bacteria; Bacillati; Bacillota; Bacilli; Caryophanales
Rfam family: PyrR binding site
About the family: This family represents the PyrR binding site and terminator structure. This RNA structure is found upstream of a variety of genes involved in pyrimidine biosynthesis and transport. The alignment also includes a portion of the antiterminator structure.
Source: Rfam